RNAcentral lists this long non-coding RNA (2143 nucleotides) under Gallus gallus (chicken). Its description in RNAcentral is "lncRNA (ENSGALG00010017195.1)". Lineage: Eukaryota; Metazoa; Chordata; Aves; Galliformes; Phasianidae. The record is from RNAcentral.
AGGAAAUGUCCUUGGAAGACGGAUUCCUCCAUCCGCUGUUUCAGCCCUUGUUUGUUUUCUGGUGGAAAUUAAUUUCUCAAAGGCCCUCCGUGUUGGAAAGGGCACGCUGAUAGGUGCAGGGAAAUAAGGAACUGGAAACAAGAUGCGCCUUAGCAGGCUGCAGGAUGGAACCUUCGUGCGUGCAGGUGGUGAGAAGUGACCUUCGGGAGGAACCCACGCUGAUGUGUUGAGUUUUGCUGGGACUCUUCAGUGCUCUUUGGGCUCUGAUACCUUGGAAGGUCCUUCCCCUGCUCUCCCCCACUGGAUUCAAACCAGGCAGUGAAGCCAGGUCUGUUCCUGGAGCCGUUGGAGGCUCACCGAUGUCUGUCUUCGGACCUCCCUGCUGAUAAAGAUUUAUGUGAUAGGAAUAAUUUGGUUGGGGUCAGGAUUUCUCCUCCAUGGAACCCAGGGCUACGUGGGGAGCUGCUGGGAUCCCAGCACAGCCUCUGUCCGGCUUCAGUUACAGCUUGAGGUAUUUUUGCCUCUUCUCUUUGCACGGGAUUUAAAGCUGAGAUAUGCAAACAGAGGCCGUUGUCCACCAAUGUCCUCCAAUGGGCGACUGCUCUCCAGCUCCUUGCAUACAGUAUCUGCACACAGUAGCUUUUGCCUUCUUGCACAAGUAUUUUAAUUGCUAAUUUGCUGGUGUCAUUUAGCUCAGCUUUGGCAUUUAUCACUUGGAUUUAAACUUGUUCAAACCGACGAUUUUCUUGGCUACCUGUGUUAAUAAUUUAAAGGCAAAAGCUCAUCACUAAGUUAUUAUGGGUAAUUAUUUUGUAGCUGGUGUGGAAAUGGUCAUUUCUGCAGCCUUAACGAAUCACUGAAUCAGAAUGGUUUGAAUUGGAAGGGACCUUAAGGACCAUCUGGUCCAACUCCCUGCACUGCACAGGGACACCCACAGCUCCGUCAGUGCUCAGAGCUCCUCCAGCCCUGACCGUGGCUGUCUGCAGGGAUGGAGCACCACCACCUCUCUGGGCAACCCGUGCCAGUGCCUCACACUUACUGUAAAGAACUUCCUUAUGUCCAAUCUACCUCUCCCCUCUUUUAGCGUGGAACCAUUUCCCCUUGCCCCUCCGUCUCUCACCCAGCAGUGCAGCACAGGAGCGCUCUGAUUGCGAUCAUGCAGUCAUCGAAGGGGUCGUCCCCCAAAAGGAUGCUUUGAUUUUCGAUGUGACACCCAGGGCUGAGCAGCUCCGCUAGCCGAGUUUACGUGGGAUGUGAGUUUUCCCAUCGCUUUACUUCGGGACGUGCGGCGUGGAGCCCUGGGGCAAUGCCGGCACCUCCAGCUGCCCCCGCCCCCUGUGUUCUGCCCCUGCUGAGGGGGUCAGCCCCGAAGAAUCAUUUGAGGAAAUAAUGUGUGAGGGGAAAAAAAAAUAUUACCUCCGGCAGUUGUGUUAUAACGGCUCUUGUGCUGACAGCCCUUUGGGAACGGUGGCAGCAGCAGGGCUGAAUGUUUUGGAGAAGAGAUCCUCAGAAGGAACACGGGAGGUGCGUUGGGACGCCUUCGCUCUGCACAGAGAUAAAGCCAGAGGGAUCCCACAUUCCGAACAAGGCAGAGCCUGAACUUGAACUGCGGGUUGUCCAAAGCUCAGGAGAGAGUUUAAAGAAGAAUGAGGCGGGGAGGAGGAAUGAAAUGCCUCUGGUGGUUGAGCCCUCUCACCUGCCGGAGGAUGUCGGGUCCGUCUGUGGCUGGGAAGUCUUUGGAUCAACGCAGGAGUGUGGAUGUAAGAAAAAAUCCUGUGCAAAGCAUCUGUGCUGGGGAGGAUGCGACGAGCGAAACGCUCCCGAGCCCCCUUCUCCACACCAGCAUAAAACACAGUGCUGUCGGUGGCUCUGAGGCUGCCCUAAGCCCAGCGUGGCGUUGUCCCCGCUCUGCUGGCUCUUGGCUGGAGCUGCUGGCACAUCACCUGUGCACGUGUGUGCAUGCAAGGAAGAAAGUAGGGGGAAGUUGUCCCUGUUGCUGUCACAGUGCUGUCCCCGCCUGGCAGAGGUGCCCUCAGCCCGUGCUGUGCUGCUGCUCCUUCAGCAUCCAGGAAAAGGCAUGGAGAUGGUCCCCCAUUCCCCAUAACAGGUUUGUGCCAACCGCUCAGAAUAUCGAUUCAAACGC